AGAGUUUGAUCAUGGCUCAGAUUGAACGCUGGCGGCAUGCCUUACACAUGCAAGUCGAACGGUAACGCGGGGGCAACCCUGGCGACGAGUGGCGAACGGGUGAGUAGCGCAUCGGAACGUGCCCAGUAGUGGGGGAUAGCUCGGCGAAAGCCGGAUUAAUACCGCAUACGACCUACGGGUGAAAGCGGGGGACCGCAAGGCCUCGCGCUAUUGGAGCGGCCGAUGCCCGAUUAGCUAGUUGGUGAGGUAAAGGCUCACCAAGGCAACGAUCGGUAGCUGGUCUGAGAGGACGACCAGCCACACUGGGACUGAGACACGGCCCAGACUCCUACGGGAGGCAGCAGUGGGGAAUUUUGGACAAUGGGGGAAACCCUGAUCCAGCCAUGCCGCGUGCGGGAAGAAGGCCUUCGGGUUGUAAACCGCUUUUGGCAGGAACGAAACGGCGCGCGCCAAUACCGCGCGUUAAUGACGGUACCUGCAGAAUAAGCACCGGCUAACUACGUGCCAGCAGCCGCGGUAAUACGUAGGGUGCAAGCGUUAAUCGGAUUUACUGGGCGUAAAGCGUACGCAGGCGGCUGUGCAAGACAGGUGUGAAAUCCCCGGGCUUAACCUGGGAACUGCAUUUGUGACUGCAUAGCUAGAGUCCGUAAGAGGGGGGUGGAAUUCCACGUGUAGCAGUGAAAUGCGUAGAGAUGUGGAGGAACACCGAUGGCGAAGGC
RNAcentral lists this ribosomal RNA (719 nucleotides) under uncultured bacterium. RNAcentral describes it as "bacterial SSU rRNA". It matches the Rfam family "Bacterial small subunit ribosomal RNA", at positions 8 to 722 of the family's 1533-position model. The record is from RNAcentral.